RNAcentral lists this transfer RNA (74 nucleotides) under Desulfovibrio piger. It matches the Rfam family "tRNA". From Rfam's summary of the family: Transfer RNA (tRNA) molecules are approximately 80 nucleotides in length. Their secondary structure includes four short double-helical elements and three loops (D, anti-codon, and T loops). Lineage: Bacteria; Pseudomonadati; Thermodesulfobacteriota; Desulfovibrionia; Desulfovibrionales; Desulfovibrionaceae. The record is from Rfam by way of RNAcentral.
GCGCUCGUAGCUCAGGUGGAUAGAGCAGGAGCCUUCUAAGCUCUUGGCCGGGGGUUCGAAUCCUCCCGGGCGCG